RNAcentral lists this long non-coding RNA (327 nucleotides) under Zostera marina. Its description in RNAcentral is "long non-coding RNA (ZMAR_LNC001988)". Lineage: Eukaryota; Viridiplantae; Streptophyta; Magnoliopsida; Alismatales; Zosteraceae. The record is from RNAcentral.
UUAGUAAGCAUCCAAAAAUAACUUUAAAAUAAAUAUAUAUAAAGGUCUCUUACGUGCAAUAUUCUUAUCCAACACAUCGAUCGCGAUUCAUUGGCAGUAAAAUACAAACAAGUUAAACUCUCGCGUCAAUCUAAAAGUAUGAGGUUGAUAUCGGUAAAAGUGGUUUUCCUUUUUUUGCUUUUCUUAUCGUCCUUUUUUCUUGUAAACUAUUGUAAAGAAAUCUCUGAAGAUGACAAAUCAAUAAUGGAAUCAAUACCUAACUGGGUAAAAUCCGUAGAGAAAUAUGUCAUCGCAGGUUUGAACAUAUUCCAAGAUUACGCAGCAAAA